Molecule: long non-coding RNA, 21772 nt
Filed under: Lactuca sativa (garden lettuce)
Lineage: Eukaryota; Viridiplantae; Streptophyta; Magnoliopsida; Asterales; Asteraceae
Description: long non-coding RNA (LSAT_LNC005097)
Source: RNAcentral
CGUAUGCAUAUAUUCAUAUUUGGACCAAUACAACAAUAGCAAGCUCCAUCUGUUCCUUUACAAUGUGAUGAUGGAAGUGGUACACAGACACCUCUUAGCUUGGCAUCGUGAUGAGGAUUAUCAUACUCCAUAGUAGACGGUUGUGGGCUUGCAUCUCCCAAAAUAGUCUUUAUUAAGGUAGUUUUUAAAGCUUUAUCACCAAUGUUGUUCCCAUUUACAACUGCACAAACGAAUUCAUAACAUUAAAUAUAACGAUUAUACCACAGAUGUGAACAAAUUAACAUGUAAAAUAUUGAUGGAGAUGAAUGCGAAAAUUUCCAAAUUAUCGUGAUAUUGUAAAAGACGAACAUAAGGUGUUGUCACUGUGUCAUCAAACUUUUUAUAAUAGAUUAUUGUUUAAAACUACAAUAUGUCCAUUAAGAUACUCUAAUCAUUUAUGAAAUGAAAAAUCAACUCACAUAUGACAAGAAGGCCAAGAACAAAGAAUGACAACCAAAAUUCCUUAUUCCUCAACAUCUUCAUAUGAGAGGACAUGUCAAGAAUUGGUGAAGUGAAUAUAUUUAUACUAAAUUUACUAGAAGUAAGUGCAAUGUAUACUCAACUCAAAUGAGCGUUUUGUAAAUUAUUAUUCUAACUAAGUAUCCUUCAUAAUUACAACAUAUUUAUAGUAAAAUUAAAUUCAUAUGUUUCUGUUUAUUUGAUAGUAUUUAAGUUAUUUUUUGAAAAUUUAUUUUAUUUUUGCUUUAAAAUUUUAAUUUUUUUUUAAGUAGUUUAGAAGGUGACAAAAACAAUGUCGCUUAGAUGCAAAUUACCAUUUCAUAAAUACUUAUUUUGUCUUCUUUUUUCUUUUUUAUAUAUUAGAGGAAAAAAAACAAUGUAAAUUAUUUAAAAUAGGUCGCUGUAACACGCAUCUAUUUUGAAAAUAUUAUGGACAUACUCGGGCAUGAGAUUUCUUGGAUUUUUAAAAGUUUUUGAUUUACAAAAGAAAACUCGAAUAAAAAAAAACUAGGUUAGAAUGUACAAGCUCUUAGAUUUUAAUUUUAAUAAAAAAACACAUAAUACGAAAUCUGCUAGAAGUACCUUUUGCCUUAUCCGAGCUUUUAGAGGCAUGUUUUCAUUUAAUUCUACGCCUUUAGUAGCUAAUAUAUAUGUUUUCUGAAAACUUCUAUAAAACCAAAUUUUAUAGUUUCUUGAUCAUGUCUUCCAAAUAAAUGUCCUUAAGGCACAUAAACACAUGUACAUGUUAUGAAAAUAUAAUAUAAAUAUUAGUAGCUUAUCACUUUAUUAUUGUAAUGGUUUAUGUAGUUUUAAAUAUAAUUUACAAUAUUCGGAGAUACAUUUAUCUUUCAUUAUUUUGUAUUUUGUUCCUUAUUUAUAAUAUGAUAGCUUUCAAAUAGUUUUCUUCGGCAUCCAUAUAUUUUUCUAUAAAUUUUAUAUUGUUUUUAGUUUUACUUAUUAAUUGUUACAUAAAUAAUUUAAUUUUAAUCAAUAUAUCAUUGAAUUUGUCUGUAAGUCUUACAAGAAGAAAAUUAAAUAUUUCUCUAUUAUUCAAAUAACUUCAAUUACAUAUUUUAAGAAAACAAAUAUUAUUUGGUACGAAAUAAGGGUUAUGUUCAAUUAAGAACAUAUGAAUUGAAUUUUUUAUGACAUUUGGUAAGCACAAAACCAUUUAAUUUUAUUUUGAAAACGACUAACUUACAUAUAAAAAAUCUAUCUACUCAUAUUUUAAGAACAUAUAGUAUUACACAAACUAAGACCUCGUAUGCAUAUAUUCAUAUUUGGACCAAUACAACAAUAGCAAGCUCCAUCUGUUCCUUUACAAUGUGAUGAUGGAAGUGGUACACAGACACCUCUAAGCUUGGCAUCGUGAUGAGGAUUAUCAUACUCCAUAGUAGACGGUUGUGGGCUUGCAUCUCCCAAAAUAGUCUUUAUUAAGGUAGUUUUUAAAGCUUUAUCACCAAUGUUGUUCCCAUUUACAACUGCACAAACGAAUUCAUAACAUUAAAUAUAACGAUUAUACCACAGAUGUGAACAAAUUAACAUGUAAAAUAUUGAUGGAGAUGAAUGCGAAAAUUUCCAAAUUAUCGUGAUAUUGUAAAAGACGAACAUAAGAUGUUGUCACUGUGUCAUCAAACUUUUUAUAAUAGAUUAUUGUUUAAAACUACAAUAUGUCCAUUAAGAUACUCUAAUCAUUUAUGAAAUGAAAAAUCAACUCACAUAUGACAAGAAGGCCAAGAACAAAGAAUGACAACCAAAAUUCCUUAUUCCUCAACAUCUUCAUAUGAGAGGACAUGUCAAGAAUUGGUGAAGUGAAUAUAUUUAUACUAAAUUUACUAGAAGUAAGUGCAAUGUAUACUCAACUCAAAUGAGCGUUUUGUAAAUUAUUAUUCUAACUAAGUAUCCUUCAUAAUUACAACAUAUUAAUAGUAAAGUUAAAAUUCAUAUGUUUCUGUUUAUUCAAUAAUAUUUAAGUUAGUUUUUGAAUAUUUAUUUUAUUUUUGCUUUAAAAUUUUAAUUUUUUUUCAAGUAGUUUAGAAGGUGACAAAAACAAUGUCGCUUAGAUGCAAAUUACCAUUUCAUAAAUACUUAUUUUGUCUUCUUUUUUCUUUUUUAUAUAUUAGAGGAAAAAAAAACAAUGUAAAUUAUUUAAAAUAGGUCGCUGUAACACGCAUCUAUUUUGAAAAUAUUAUGGACAUACUCGGGCAUGAGAUUUCUUGGAUUUUUAAAAGUUUUUGAUUUACAAAAGAAAACUCGAAUAAAAAAAAACUAGGUUAGAAUGUNUUAUUUUUAAUAAAAAACACAAAAUACGAAAUCUGCUAGAAGUACCUUUUGCCUUAUCCGAGCUUUUAGAGGCAUGUUUUCAUUUAAUUCUACGUCUUUAGUAGCUAAUAUAUAUGUUUUCUGAAAACUUCUGUAAAACCAAAUUUUAUAGUUUCUUGAUCAUGUCUUGCAAAUAAAUGUCCUUAAGGCACAUAAACACAUGUACAUGUUAUGAAAAUAUAAUAUAAAUAUUAGUAGCUUAUCACUUUAUUAUUGUAAUGGUUUAUGUAGUUUUAAAUAUAAUUUACAAUAUUGGGAGAUACAUUUAUCUUUCAUUAUUUUGUAUUUUGUUCCUUAUUUAUAAUAUGAUAGCGUUCAAAUAUUUUUCUUCGACAUCCAUAUAUUUUUCUAUAAAUUUUAUAUCGUUUUUAGUUUUACUUAUUAAUUGUUACAAAAAUUAAUUUGAUUUUAAUCAAUAUGUCAUUGAAUUUGUUCGUAAGUCUUACUAGAAGAAAAUUAAAUAUUCAUCUAUUAUUCAAAAAACUUUAAUUACAUAUUUUAAGAAAACAAAUAUUAUCUGGUACGAAAUAAGGGUUAUGUGCAAUUAAGAACAUAUGAAUUCAAUUUUUUAUGACAUUUGGUAAGUACAAAACCAUUUAAUUUUAUUUUGAAAAUGACUAACUUACAUAUAAAAAAUCUAUCUACUCAUAUUUUAAGAACAUAUAGUAUUACACAAACUACGAUCUUGUAUGCGUAUAUUCAUAUUUGGACCAAUACAACAAUAGCAAGUUCCAUUUGUUCCUUUACAAUGUGAUGAUGGAAGUGGUACACAGACACCUCUUAGCUUGGCAUCGUGAUGAGGAUUAUCAUACUCCAUAGUAGACGGUUGUAGGCUUGCAUCUCCCAAAAUAGUCUUUAUUAAGGUAGUUUUUAAUGCUUUAUCACCAAUGUUGUUCCCAUUUACAAUUGCACAAACAAAUUGAUAACAUUAAAUAUAACAAUUAUACCACAGAUGUUGUGACAACCCGAAAUUAUCCAUCGCCGAAACCCAAUUCGUCCGUAAGACCUGUUUUUAGCAAUUCGUUCUGGUUUCAUUUUUGGGCCAAAUUAUUCAAACUUAUAUGAUUAUUAUAAUCUAAUGUGUGUCCAAACCCUUUAGGAACUCAUGAAAUUGGCCCAAAUUAUUGAUUUGAAAAUUUCUAGAAUCGUUUCCGCCGGAUUACAGCAAUUUGGUCGGGUGUGAACAAAAGCCACGUCUAAUGUCAGUAUCGGAUAGAAUUCCACCGUGUCCAAAUCUUGAACACUAUUUAAAGUUGUCUAAGCUCCCAUUUGAAGCUUUUUCUCUCUCUCUCUCACUACUCUCUCUCUAUCCUCUCUCCUCAAUCCAAAGAACUAGGUCCAAAACACCAAUUUAAGGCUUCAAAUCUUCAAGGUAACUUCCCUAACUUGUUGUUCAACUUCGUUAACCUUCAAAUCCGAGUUUAAUCAAUGAUUUAGGACCUCAAAAAAGAGUUUACGGCCCUAGAUCAUGCAUGGGCCAUAAACACAUAAAAAGUGGGUUUUCAAGCCUUAAAACCCCUCCAAAUCAAUCUUGGGACUUAGAUAUGACUUUAUGGCUUACCAAUUCGGACUUAGAACACCCUAAUCAUCAUUUUUGCGGAGUAAACAUGAGUUUACUGCCCAAGAUCAUGCUUGGGCCAUAAACUCAUCAUUCAUGGAGAGUAAACUGAAAAUCAAGUGUUUAAAAGCCAUUUAAACACACCUUUAGCCUUGGAAUAAAUCCUAUAACCAACCAAAAUCAACUUGGAGACUUUAAACAUGAUGAAAUCCCUCCAUUUGAGAGUUUACGGCCAUAACCCCCCAAGAAUAGGUUUCAGGGCCGUAAACUCAUAAUCAUAAGUCAAAUGGUGCCCAAAAUUCAUCCUAAGGCUUGUAAAAAUUGUUUGAAUCACAUGUUAUUAAUCUAAGGGCACUAAAUCAUAAAUUUAAGGGGGUAUAGGAGCUUACGCCCGUAAAAUCCUUGUUUAUGGCCGUAAACUCCCUUUAAAUGUUGUUCUUGGUGAUUUAAUCCAUUUCCAUGCCUUAGAUAAAUUUACCCCAUCAUCCCUCAAGUGUUAUUGACCAUUUAGCACCAUAAAACUCUCAACCAUGAGUUCACGGUCGUGAACUCAAGUGGUUAGAGUGUUUAGGGCCGUAAACUCAUUUCCCUAGUCCCUCACGUCCUUAAAUGUCACCCGGGUCACUCCAAACACUUAUUUUGAAGUGUUUUCGCGUCUAGGUGUAUAUAAUAAUAUCUAAUUAGUGAUUUAAAAUCUAUUUAGAUAUAUUUGUAUAUCAUUUCAUAUUACAUAGCAACCUUGCGCAUUAUUAGGCCCGAACCAACACUUAGCAUCUGAACCAACAUGUUUUUUCUCGUCUGGUGAGUUCAUACCCGUACCUUUUUUCAAUGGUUUUUCAAUGUCUUCAGGGGGGGGAUACAAGCAAAAGUACAAGAAUAUCUUGUACUUAAAUUCAUUAUUUCAUUUAAAUGGUUUCAUAAUCCGUACACUUUUAAGAAUUGAAAACAUAUUAACAAACGGUUUAACUUAUAGAAUUGUUCUUCAAACCUAUUUCAAUUCUUAUUAAGUAGUGUUAUACUUUAUACUUCACAAUUGAUUGUUCACACUUUUACUGAUAGAAAUCAUAGAACAUUUGUAUUGUCCCUAAUAAAACACCUUACGUUUGAGUGUGAAGGACAGACAUCAUUAGAACUUAGUCAGUCAUAGAUACUACUUCCCUUAGAUACGAGAGUAAAGAGUAAUCUUAAGGAUUGGAGACACGUCCUUUGUAACACUUCCCUUGGAAUGAGAGAGUGGAGGACUAUCCCUGUAACCAGAAUCUCCAAAAGGGAGAACGUGACUUGAGUGUAUAGAUCUAUACGGGACUGACUAUCCCGCACCUGGCUACUAGCUACAGCCGAACCGCAAGGUUCAAGGGUGACAAAAGUCAUAAAAAGAUACUGACCUCGGUAUGUGUCAUAUAUAGUCUGAAGUAUGGUUAAGGACUCAUAAUCAAGAUUAUGAACAUUUUGCACGUAUUUAUUUGUUUUUUAUAUGUGUUAAAACUAAUGUACAUUUAAAGGUAAUCAGACUUUCAGGAGACUCCACACACACACUUUAAGUAUGGUAGAUACUUGUACAUUACUUUGAGAUUCGGUAACAAUUCACACACAUUUAGGAAAAUAUGGGGUUUUCCUGGGAUAACAUUUGUACAUAAUCAGAACCGUGUAAUAACUCAGAUAACUAAACUUUACAAUUCACGAGGGUAAACAUGUUUUUUAGAGUACAUCUUUUACAUUAUAUUUUGGUUUCGAUAACAUUUCUUUUAAGAAAAUAUGGGAUUUUCUUGGUGUGAAACUUUUUUAGAAAACAUAAAGGAACUUGUACAAUUUCAGAAAACAAAACCGCUUAUGAACUCACCAGCUUUAUGCUGAUUUUCAAACUGCUUGGCCAACUAUAUUCAUUCGAGACACAACCAAUAUAUGCUUGGGAGUGACUGUGGUAUGCGGGAUGCCUAAAACUUACCCAAUAACCAAACAACGAGCCAUCGCUAUAGCGAAUCAUGAAAUACUAUGGGAGUAUUUCUCAAGCCAAACCCGUUAUAGAAAUUCUCAUUACAACAUUGUUCCUCGAUCAUUCCCUUAGUGAUUACUAAUCUGCUUUGUUAACUCUUUCCUGCUUAUCGCUUAAUAGAAUACCAUAUAUAUCUGUCUUAAUGAGAUAUCUCCUGUCCCAUAUCUCUUGAUUCAGUUCUGAGGACUUAUGAUCCUCUCUUUCCUUAUCUUAUUAGAUCAAGAUGCCUCCAAGAAAGAGACCCAACUCAAAGACCAACAACCCUCCACCACCACCUCCUCCUCAAAUUGAUCUUGUAAUGCUUCAGGCAGCUGUUACUGCCGCAAUGACAGCCGCCAUGUCACAAUGAAACCCCGGUAGACCAGGAGGUGGCCCCUAGCCCCAAAACCCAGAAGAUAACCAGGGACACCGAAAGAAGGGUUCCUAUAAAGAUUUCAUGAACGCAAAACCCACGUCCUUUGAUGGCACUGGAGAUGUCAUUUCCUUCACCCGAUGGUUCGAGAAGAUCGAAUCUAUCUUUGAAAUUUGCGCCUGCUUAGAAUCUGACAAAGUGAAGUUUGUCACCUGCACCUUCAUCGAUAAAGCCCUGACUUGGUGGAAUGGCCGAGUCAAAUCCUUAACCUUACCUGUAGCCAACGCCAUGGGUUGGGAAGCCAUGAAGGAACUUCUGGUGGCCGAGUACUGCCCACUGGGCGAAAUGCAUAAAUUAGAGCACGAACUCUAGAACCUGAAGAUGAAGAGUUCCGAUAUCGCCGCUUACACUUCCAGGUUCGAUGACUUGGCAUUACUCUGCCCGGGAAUGGUUACCCCGGAGAGUAAGAAGAUAGAGAGAUUCAUCUGGGGGCUGACCCAUCCAAAAAAAGGAAACGUUCUAGCCGCAAGGCCAGAUACAUACGAUAGCGCCAAAUGCUUAGCACGAAUCUUAAUCGAUCACAGUGAUGACCUUGAGGAGGCAGCUACCACUCCUGAGCCGACAGAGAGGAGUGGCGGGAAAAGGAAAAUCGGGAAGAAGAAGGAAAGUCAGACAUUGCAGGAGUCUUCGUAGAGGCAGCAACUUGUGGCAGUUCACGCUGAUACUACCCCUGCAACUGUUUCUGUUGUUGGAUCCUCAGCUCGAAUACCUACCAGUAGGUAUGCGGGAACCCUCCCUAGUUGUGACAAGUGUAAAUAUCAUCACCUCACUUCCAACCGAUGUAUAGAGAUGUUUUGCAACAGUAGUGGCAUAAAGGGUCACAUGGAGAAAAACUGUAAGACACCAACUUAAUCAACCAGUCAAGUUUCCGGAGCGGGCAUUGGUCAAGCCUGCUAUGGUUGCGGAAAAGUUGGGCAUCUUAAGCGAAACUGCCCCAAGGUAGCAACGACUGGCAACACCGAAAGAGUUCUAGAGAUAGGACGAGAGGAGACAACUACUGAUCCCACCGUCGCCCCAGGUAUAUUCCUCCUCAAGAACUCUUAUGCCUACAAACCUUUUCGAUUCUUGUGAUAAAAGAAAAAUCUGUUAUCUAUUCAUCCAUACAUCUUAAUCUUAGCCCUCCACUAGUAAUUAAAACAUUCACCAUCGAGACGGAUAAUAGUGGGGAAAGAAAACUUUAUCGAUACAUCCAUAGGUUGUACCCUUACUUUGAACGACCAUCCUUUAUCCAUUGAUCUUAUGUCCAUUUCCAUAAAUACUUUUGAUGUUAUCUAUGGCAUGGACUGGUUGAGUCCCAAUCGUGCUGAAACCCUUGCAUUGAAAAAUCCACCUGUCUCAAUCUUUUCUCUGAUCAGACCCUCAUGAUCUACGGCAAUAAACUCAGUUCCAACCUACGUAUCGGUUUUUGCAUCAAAACUCAAGAGUUUUCCCCGAAAGGAGUGUCAUACAUUCCUAGUCUAUGGAAUCCGUGAGAAAAAGAAAGUUAAAAACUUAGAGAACAUCCCCAAAGUCUGUGACUAUCCUGAUGUAUUCCCUAUAUAGCUUUCGAGAAUUCUUUCCGAACAUCAAAUUGAAUUUCGCAUCGAUCUAAUCCCUGAAACUACCUUGUAGCCAAACGUCAGUGAAAAUGAGGUGUCCAAGACAGCAGUCAGGGCUUGAUAUGAUCACUACGAGUUAGUAGUGGUGCCCUUCGGUCAAAUUAUUUUCCUUAGUCAUGUAGAUAAGCAAAGCAGUCAUACCCGUGGACCUUUGCAAAAACUAUGGCGAUAGGGAUUUAGUCGGCACCGGAGAUACCCAUAGAAAACCCGUCAAUUCUUGGGUCCCGCCGGCUAAUAUCGCAGACCCACCUAGAAAUUUCCUUUAGAAUCAUCAAACCCUUAACUACUCUACCAUAUGAAGAUGUACUCUCUUGUUGGAAGUCUUGCUCUGGAGAGACAUAGUAGGCCUUGAGAAGUGCGGAAAAACUUAACUCGUGGUACAUUAAACGCUUCGAGAUCCUCGUUAGGAAUCGAUUCCGUAGCCCUCUCCGAGCUAUCUUCAGAACUCAGCAGCAACCAUCUGGUAUUCCAUAUCUUUGUUCAUAAGGAGUGCCGACUCGACGAAACCCUAGUAAUCCCUUUGAUGAGAUCGAAAUCAAUGGAAACACAAACCUCCAUGGAAGAAUCAAUUGAGAUCAUGGAUUGAGAGGUUGACCAUACGAAACAAAGUCGCAUCCCGAUAGUGAAGGUUCGCUGGAAUGUCAAGCGGACACCCGAUUCCACUUAGGAGCGUGAAGACCCGAAGCAGUAGAUUCAUUCUCAUCCUUCUUUUCACUGCAUGAUCUAUGCCCAAAUCUUUAAAUUUCGGGAAGAAAUUCCCUCUAAUGGGGGGAUAAUGUGACAACCCGAAAUUAUCCAUCGCCAAAACCUAAUUCGUCCGUAAGACCCGUUUUUAGCAAUUCUUUCUGGUUUCGUUUUUGGGCCAAAUUAUUCAAAAUUAUAUGAUUAUUAUAAUCUAAUGAGUGUCAAAACCCCUUAGGAACUCAUGAAAUUGGCCCAAAUUAUUGAUUUUAAAAUUUCUAGAAUCAUUUCCGCCGGAUUACAACAAUUUGGUCGGGUGUGACCAAAAGCCACGUCUAAUGUCGGUAUCGGGUAGAAUUCCACCGUGUCCAAAUCUUGAACACUAUUUAAAGUUGUCUAAGCUCCCAUUUGAAGCUUUUACUCUCUCUCUCUCUCUCUCACUAUUCUCUCUCUCUCUAACCUCUCUCCUCAAUCCAAAGAACUAGGUCCAAAAAACCAAUUUAAGGCUUAAAAUCUUCAAGGUAACUUCCCUAACUUGUUGUUCAACCUCAUUAACCUUCAAAUCCGAGUUUAAUCAAUGAUUUAAGACCCCAAACAAGAGUUUACGGCCCUGGAGUAUGCAUGGGCCGUAAACACAUAAAAAGUGGGUUUUCAAGCCUUAAAAACCCUCCAAAUCAAUCUUGGGACUUAGAUAUGACUUUAUGGCUUACCAAUUCGGACUUUGAACACCCUAAUCAUCAUUUUUGAGGAGUAAACAUGAUUUUACUGCCCAAGAUCAUGCUUGGGCCAUAAACUCAUCAUUCCUGGAGAGUAAACUGAAAAUCAAGUGUUUAAAAGCCAUUUAAACACACCUUUAGCCUUGGAAUAAAUCCUAGAACCAACCAAAAUCAAUUUGGGGACCUUAAACAUGAUGAAAUCCCUCCAUUUGAGAGUUUACGGCCAUAACCCCCCAAGAAUAGGUUCUAGGCCCGUAAACUCAUAAUCAUAAGUCAAACGGUGCCCAAAAUUCAUCCUAUGGCUUGUAAAAAUUGCUUGAAUCACAUGUGAUUAAUCUAAGGCCACUAAAUCAUCAAUUUAAGGGGGGUAUAGGAGCUUACGGCCGUAAACUCCUUGUUUAGGGCCGUAAACUCCCUUUAAAUGUUGUUCUUGGUGAUUUAAUCCAUUUCCAUUCCUUAGAUAAAUUUACCCCAUCAUCCCUCAAGUGUUAUUGACCAUUUAGCACCAUAAAACUCUCAACCAUGAGUUCACGGUCGUGAACUCAUGUGGUUAGAGUGUUUAGGGCCGAAAACUCCAUAAGGAGUUUACUCUUUAAGAGUAAACUCAUUUCCCUANACGUCCGUAAGUCACCCGGGUCACUCCAAACACUUAUUUUGAAGUGUUUUCGCGUCUUGGAGUAUAUAAUAAUAUCUAAUUAGUGAUUUAUAAUCUAGUUAGAUAUAUUUGUAUAUCAUUUCAUAUUACAUAGGAACCUCGCACGUUAUCAGGCCCGAACCGACACUUAGCAUCCGAACGAACAUGUUUUCUCUUCUGGUGAGUUCAUACCCCUACCCUUUUUGAAUGUUUUUCAAUGUUUUUAGGUGGGGGGGAUACAAGCAAAAGUACAAGAAUAUCUUGUACUUAAAUUCAUUAUUUCAUUUAAAUGGUUUCAUAAUCCGUACACUUUUAAGAAUUGAAAACAUAUUAACAAACAGUUUAACUUAUAGAAUUGUUCUUCAAACCUAUUUCAAUUCUUAUUAAGUAGUGUUAUACUUUAUACGUGACAAUUGAUUGUUCACACUUUUACUGAUAGAAAUCAUAGAACAUUUGUAUUGUCCUUAAUAAAACACCUUAGGUUCGAGUGUGAAGGACAGACAUCAUUAGAACUUAGCCAGUCAUAGAUACUACUUCCCCUAGAUACGAGAGUAAAGAGUAAUCUUAAAGAUUGGAGACACGUCCUUUGUAACACUUCCCUUGGCACGAGAGAGUGGAGGACUAUCCCUGUAACCAGAAUCUCCAGAAGGGAGAACGUGACUUGAGUGUAUAGAUCUAUACGGGACUGACUAUCCCGCACCUGGCUGCUAGCUACAGCCGAACCGCAAGGUUCAAGGGUGACAAAAGUCAUAAAAAGAUACUGACCUCGGUUCGAGUCAUAUCUAUUUUGAAGUAUGGUUAAGGAAUUGUAAUCAAGAUUAUGAACACUUUGCACGUAUUUAUUAGUUUUAUAUAUGUGUUAAAACUAAUGUACAUUUAAUGGUAAUCAGACUUUCAGGAGACUCCACACACACACACUAUAAGUAUGGUAGAUACGUGUAGAUUACUUUGAGAUGUGGUAACAAUUCACACACAUUUAGGAAAAUAUGGGAUUUUCCUGGGAUAACAUUAGUACAUAAUCUGAACCGUGUAAUAACUCAGAUAACUAAACUUUACAAUUCAUGAGGGUAAACAUGUUUUUCAAAGUACAUCUUUUGCAUUAUAUUUUGGAUUCGAUAACAUUACUUUUAAGAAAAUAUGGGAUUUUCUUGGUGUGAAACUUUUUCAGAAAACAGAAAGGAACUUGUAUUAUUUCAGAAAACAAAACCGCUUAUGAACUCACCAGCUUUAUGCUGAUUUUCAAACUACUUGUAUUCUCAGGUCCAUAUUAGACAGGUACCCAGCGAUCCUUUUGGCGAAGGCGAAGUAUGUAGAAGACACGUCUUUACUUUUGUUCAUAUGUCAUGUAUAUGUAUAAGGCAUGUAAUCCUUUGUUUUUAGACAAUGUAAAUAAAUCUAUGUAAUGUAAAGUUUUGUGUUUACUAUGCUUACUAUGUACAUUGGUUGCGAUAUUCAUGACGUCCUCCACCCCGGAACGUUUCUGCCUUUGGUUUCGAGGUGUGACAGAUUGGUAUCAGAGCCCUUGUUUAUAGUGAACUAGUAUACCAAACCUUACAUGGUAUAAGACUAUAAACACUAAGGGGCCUAAGUGCUCUAAACUAAAAGUAUACUUUAAAUAAUAAGUAUUUUCAAAAAGUAUAUAAGUAUACCUAACCGUCGAAAUCCGUAACUACAAGUAGAACAAAACAUAAGUAAAUGGGUGUUGUACGCUACGGUUAAACAUGGGCAGUUAUGUCGUCGUGUCUAGUAUCAAUAUAGCCUGGCCAACUAUAUUCAUUCGAGACAUGGCCAACAUGUGCUUGGGAGUGACUGUGGUAUGCGGCAUGCCUAAAACUUACCCAAUACCCAAACAACGAGCCAUUGCUGCAGCGAAUCAUGAAAUCCUAUGGGAGUAUUUCUCAAGUCAAACCCGUUAUAGAAAUUCUCAUUACAGCAUCGUUCCUCGAUCAUUCCCUUAGCGAUAACUAAUUUGCUUUGUUAACUCUUUCCUGCUUAUCGCUUAAUAGAAUACCAUAUAUCUGUCUUAAUGAUAUAUCUCCUGUCCCAUAUCUCUUGAUUCAAUUCUGAGGACUUAUGAUCCUCUUUUUCCUAAUCUUAUUAGAUCAAGAUGCCUCCAAGAAAGAGACCCAGCUCAAAGACCAACAACCCUCCGCCACCACCUCCUCCUCAAAUUGAUCUUGUAACUCUUCAGGCAGCUGUUACUACCGCAAUGACAGCCGCCAUGUCACAAUGAAACCCCGGUAGUUCAGGAGGUGGUCCCUAGCCCCAAAACCCAGAAGAUAACAAGGGACACCGAAAGAAGGGUUCCUAUAAAGAUUUCAUGAACGCAAAACCCAUGUCCUUUGAUGGCACUAGAGGUGUCAUUUCCUUCACCCGAUGGUUCGAGAAGAUCGAAUCCAUCUUUGAAAUUUGCGCCUGCUCAGAAUCUGACAAAGUGAAGUUUGCCGCCUGCACCUUCAUCGAUAAAGCCCUGACUUGGUGGAAUGACCGAGUCAAAUCCUUAACCUCACUUGUAGCCAACGCCAUGGGUUGGGAAGCCAUGAAGGAACUUCUGCUGGCUGAGUACUGCCCACGGGGAGAAAUGCAUAAAUUAGAGCACGAACUCUGGAACCUGAAGAUGAUGGGUUCCGAUAUCGCCGCUUACACUUCCAGGUUCGAUGACUUGGUAUUACUCUGCCCGGGAAUGGUUACCCCGGAGAGUAAGAAGAUAAUAGAGAUUCAUCUGGGGGCUGACCCACCCAAAAAAAAGGAAACGUCCUAGCCGCAAGGCGAGAUACAUACGACAGCACCAAAUGCUUAGCACGAAUCUUAAUCGAUCAUAGUGAUGACCUUGCGGAGGCAGCUACCACUCCUGAGCCGAUAGAGAGGAGUGGCGGGGGGAGGGNNNNNNNNNNNNNNNNNNNNNNNNNNNNNNNAGAGGCAGCAACUUGUGGCAGUUCACGCUGCUACUACCCCUGCAACUGUUUCUGUUGUUGGAUCCUCAGCUCGAAUACCUACCAGUAGUUAUGCGGGAACCCUCCCUAGUUGUGACAAGUGCAAAUAUCAUCACCUCACUUCCAACCCAUGUAUAGAGAUGUUUUGCAACAGUUGUGGCAUAAAGGGUCACAUGGAGAAAAACUGUAAGACACCAACUCAAUCAACCGGUCAAGUUUCCGGAGCGGGCAUUGGUCAAGCCUGCUAUGGUUGCGGAAAAGUUGGGCAUCUUAAGCGAAACUGCCCCAAGGCAGCAACGACUGGCAACACCGAAAGAGUUCUAGUGAUAGGACGAGAGGAGACAGCUACUAAUCCCACCGUCGCCCCAGGUAUAUUCCUCCUCAAGAACUCUUACGCCUGCAAACUUUUUCGAUUCUUGUGACAAAAGAAAAAUCUGUUAUCUAUUCAUCCAGACAUCUUAAACUUAGCCCUCCACUAGUAGUUGAAACAUUCACCAUCGAGACGGAUAAUAGUGGGGAAAGAAAACUUUAUUGAUACAUCCAUAGGUUGUACCCUUACUCUGAACGACCAUCCUUUAUCCAUUGAUCUUAUGUCCAUUUCCAUAAAUACUUUUGAUGUUAUCUUUGGCUUGGACUGGUUGAGUCCCAAUCGUGCUGAUACCCUUGCAUUGAAAAAUCCACCUGUCUCAAUCUUUUCUCUGAUCAGACCCUCAUGAUCUACGGCAAUAAAUUCAGUGCCAACCUACGUAUCGGUUUGUGCAUCAAAACUCAAGAGUUUUCCUCGAAAGGAGUGUCAUACAUUCCUAGCCUAUGUAAUCCGUGAGAAAAUAAAAGUUAAAAACUUCGAGAACGUCCCCUAAGUCUGUGACUAUCCUGAUGUAUUCCCUAUAUAGCUUUCGAGAAUUCUUUCCGAACAUCAAAUUGAAUUUCGCAUCGAUCUAAUCCCUGAAACUACCUUGUAGCCAAACCUCAGUGAAAAUGAGGUGUCCAAGACAGCAGUCAGGGCUUGAUAUGAUCACUACAAGUUACUAGUGGUGCCCUUCGGUCAAAUUAUUUUCCUUAGUCAUGUAGAUAAGAAAAGAAGUCAUACCCGUGGACCUUUCCAAAAACUAUGGCGAUAGAGAUUUAGUCGGCAGCGGAGAUACCCAUAGAAAACCCGUCAAUUCUUGGGUCCCGCCGGCUAAUAUUGCAGACCCACCUAGAAAUUUCCUUUAGAAUCAUCAAACCCUUAGCUACUCUACCAUAUGCAGAUGUACUCUCUUGUUGGAAGUCUUGCUCUGGAGAGACAUAGUACGCCUUGAGAAGUGCGGAAAAACUUAAAUCGUGGUACAUUAAACGCUUCGAGAUCCUCGUUAGGAAUCGAUUCCGUAGCCCUCUCCGAGCUAUCUUCAGAACUCAGCAGCAACCAUCUGGUAUUCCAUAUCUUUGUUCAUAAGGAGUGCCGACUCGACGAAACCCUAGUAAUCCCUUUGAUGAGAUCGAAAUCAACGGAAACACGAACCUCCAUGGAAGAAUCAAUUGAGAUCAUGGAUUGAGAGGGUGACCGUACGAAACAAAGUCGCAUCCCGAUAGUGAGGGUUUGCUGGAACGUCAAGCGGACACCCGAUUCCACCUAGGAGCGUGAAGACCCGAAGCAGUAGACUCAUUCUCAUCCUUCUUUUCACUGCAUGAUCUGUACCCAAAUCUUUAAAUUUCGGGACGAAAUUCCUUCUAACUGGGGGAUAAUGUGACAACCCGAAAUUAUCCAUCGCCAAAACCUAAUUCGUCCGUAAGACCCGUUUUUAGCAAUUCGUUCCGGUUUCGUUUUUGGGCCAAAUUAUUCAAACUUAUAUGAUUAUUAUAAUCUAAUGAGUUUCCAAACCCCUUAGGAACUCAUGAAAUUGGCCCAAAUUAUUGAUUUGAAAAUUUCUAGAAUCGUUUCCGUCGGAUUACAACAAUUUGGUCGGGUGUGACCAAAAGCCACGUCUAAUGUCGGUAUCAGGUAGAAUUCCACCAUGUCCAAAUGUUGAACACUUUUUAAAGUCAUCUAAGCUCCCAUUUGAAGCUUUCUCUCUCUCUCUCUCACUACUCUCUCUCUAACCUCUCUCCUCAAUCCAAAGAACUAGGUCCAAAACACCAAUUUAAGGCUUCAAAUCUUCAAGGCAACUUCCCUAACUUGUUGUUAAACCUCAUUAACCUUAAAAUCCAAGUUUAAUCAAUGAUUUAGGACCGCAAGAUAGAGUUUACGACCCUGGAGUAUGCAUGGGCCGUAAACACAUAAAAAGUGGGUUUUCAAGCCUUAAAACCCCUCCAAAUCAAUCUUGGGACUUAGAUAUGACUUUAUGGCUUACCAAUUCGGACUUUGAACACCCUAAUCAUCAUUUUUGAGGAGUAAACAUGAGUUUACUGCCCAAGAUCAUGCUUGGUCCGUAAACUCAUCAUUCCUGGAGAGUAAACUGAAAAUCAAGUGUUUAAAAGCCAUUUAAACACACCUUUAGCCUUGGAAUAAAUCCUAGAACCAACCAAAAUCAAUUUGGGGACCUUAAACAUGAUGAAAUCCCUCCAUUUGAUAUUUUACGGCCAUAACCCCCCAAAAAUAGGUUCUAGGCCCGUAAACUCAUAAUCAUAAGUCAAAUGGUGCCUAAAAUUCAUCCCAUGGCUUGUAAAAAUUGCUUGAAUCACAUGUGAUUAAUCUAAGGCCACUAAAUCAUCAAUUUAAGGGGGGUAUAGGAGCUUACGGCCGUAAACUCCUUUUUUAGGGCCGUGAACUCCCUUUAAAUGUUGUUCUUGGUGAUUUAAUCCAUUUCCAUGCCUUAGAUAAAUUUACCCCAUCAUCCCUCAAGUGUUAUUGACCAUUUAGCACCAUAAAACUCUCAACCAUGAGUUCACGGCCGUGAACUCAUGUGGUUAGAGUGUUUAGGGCCGAAAACNAACUCCAUAAAGUUUACUCUUGAAGAGUAAACUCAUUUCCCUAGUUCCUCACGUCCUUAAAUGUCACCCGAGUCACUCCAAACACUUAUAUAGAAGUGUUUUCGCAUCUUGGAGUAUAUAAUAAUAUCUAAUUAGUGAUUUAAAAUCUAAUUAGAUAUAUUUGUAUAUCAUUUCAUAUUACAUAGGAACCUUGCGCGUUAUCAGGCCUGAAUCAACACUUAGCAUCCGAACCAACAUGUUUUCUCGUCUGGUGAGUUCAUACCCCUACCCUUUUUCAAUGGUUUUUCAAUGUUUUCNUACCCGUACCUUUUUUCAAUGGUUUUUCAAUGUCUUCAGGGGGGGGAUACAAGCAAAAGUACAAGAAUAUCUUGUACUUAAAUUCAUUAUUUCAUUUAAAUGGUUUCAUAAUCCGUACACUUUUAAGAAUUGAAAACAUAUUAACAAACAGUUUAACUUAUAGAAUUGUUCUUCAAACCUAUUUCAAUUCUUAUGAAGUAGUGUUAUACUUUAUACUUCACAAUUGAUUGUUCACACUUUUAUUGAUAGAAAUCAUAGAACAUUUGUAUUGUUCUUAAUAAAACACCUUAGGUUCGAGUGUGAAGGACAGACAUCAUUAGAACUUAGUCAGUCAUAGAUACUACUUCCCCUAGAUACGAGAGUAAAGAGUAAUCUUAAAGAUUGGAGACACGUCCCAAUAACCAGAAUCUCCAGAAGGGAGAACGUGACUUGAGUGUAUAGAUCUAUACAGGACUGACAAUCGCGUACCUGGCUGCUAGCUACAGCCGAACCGCAAGGUUCAAGGGUGACAAAAGUCAUAAAAAGAUACUGACCUCGGUUUGAGUCAUAUCUAGUCUGAAGUAUGCUUAAGGACUCGCAAUCAAGAUUAUGAACACUUUGCACGUAUUUAAUAGUUUUAUAUAUGUGUUAAAACUAAUGUACAUUUAAAGGUAAUCAGACUUUCAGGAGACUCCACACACACACUUUAAGUAUGGUAGAUACUUGUACAUUACUUUGAGAUUCGAUAACAAUUCACACACAUUUAGGAAAAUAUGGGAUUUUCCUGGGAUAACAUUUGUACAUAAUCAGAACCAUGUAAUAACUCAGAUAACUAAACUUUACAAUUCACGAGGGUAAACAUGUUUUUCAGAGUACAUCUUUUACAUUAUAUUUUGGAUUCGAUAACAUUACUUUUAAGAAAAUAUGGGAUUUUCAUGGUGUGAAACUUUUUCAGAAAACAGAAAGAAACUUGUACAAUUUCAGAAAACAAAACCGCUUAUGAACUCACCAGCUUGAUGCUGAGUUUCAAACUGCUUGUAUUCUCAGGUCCAUAUUAGACAGGUACCCAACGAUCCUUUUGGCGAAGGCGAAGUAUGUAGAAGACACGUCUUUACUUUUGUUCAUAUAUUACGUAUAUGUAUAAUACAUGUAAUCCUUGUUUUCAGACAAUGUAAAUAAAUCUAUGUAAUGUAAAGUUUUGUGUUUACUAUGCUUACUAUGAACAUUGGUUGCGAUAUUCAUGACGUCCUCCACCCCGGAACGUUUCCGCCUUUGGUUUCGGGGUGUGACCGAUGUGAACAAAUUAACAUGUAAAAUAUUGAUGGAGAUGAAUGCAAAAAUUUCCAAAUUAUCGUGAUAUUGUAAAAUACGAACAUAAGGUGUUGUCACUGUGUCAUCAAACUUUUUAUAAUAGAUUAUUGUUUAAAACUACAAUAUGUCCAUUAAGAUACUCUAAUCAUUUAUGAAAUGAAAAAUCAACUCACAUAUAACAAGAAGGCCAAGAACAAAGAAUGAAAAAAAAAUUCCUUAUUCCUCAACAUCUUCAUAUGAGAGGACAUGUCAAGAAUUGGUGAAGUGAAUAUAUUUAUACUAAUUUUACUAGAAGUAAGAGCAAUGUAUACUCAACUCAAAUGAGCUUUUUGUAAAUUAUUAUUCUAACUAAGUAACCUUCAUAAUUACAACAUAUUUAUAGUAAAAUUUAAUUCAUAUGUUUCUGUUUAUUUGAUAGUAUUUAAGUUAUUUUUUGAAAAUUUAUUUUAUUUUUGCUUUAAAAUUUUAGUUUUUUUUUUUCAAGUAGUUUAGAAUGUGACAAGAACAAUGUCGCUUAGAUGCAAAUUACCAUUUCAUAAAUACUUAUUUUGUCUUCUUUUUUCUUUUUUAUAUAUUAUAGGAUAAGAAACUAUGUAAAUUAUUUAAAAUAGGUCGCCGUAACACGCAUCUAUUUUGAAAAUAUUAUGGACAUACUCGGGCAUGAGAUUUCUUGGAUUUUUAAUAGUUUUUGAUUUACAAAAGAAAACUCGAAUAAAAAAAAAACUAGGUUAGAAUGUAUAAGCUCCUAAAUUUUGUUUUUAAUAAAAAAAACACAUAAUACGAAAUCUGCUAGAAGUACCUUUUGCGUUAUCCGAGCUUUUAGAGGCAUGUUUUCAUUUAAUUCUACGCCUUUAGUAGUUAGUAUAUAUGUUUUCUGAAAACUUCUAUAAAACAAAUUUUUUUUUAGUUUCUUGAUCAUGUCUUCCAAAUAAAUGUCCUUAAGGCCCAUAAACACAUGUACAUGUGAUGAAAAUAAAAUAUAAAUAUUAGUAGCUUAUCACAUUAUUAUUGUAAUGGUUUAUGCAGUUUUAAAUAAAAUUUACAAUAUUGGAAGAUGCAUUUAUCUUUCAUAGUUUUGUAUUUUGUUCCUUUUUUUAUUAUAUGAUAGUUGACAAAUUGUUUUCUUCAGCAUCCAUAUAUUUUUCUAUAAAUUUUAUAUUGGCUUUCAGUUUUACUUAGUAAAUGUUACAUAAAUGAAUUUAAUUUUAAUCAUUAUAUCAUUCAAUUUGUUCGUAAGUCUUACUAGAAGAAAAUUAAAUAUUUAUCUGUUAUUCAAAAAACAUCAAUUACAUAUUUUAAGAAAACAAAUAUUAUUUGGUAUGAAAUAAGGGUUAUGUACAAUUAAGAACAUCUGAAUUCAAUUUUUUAUGACAUAUGGUAAACACAAAACCAUUUUAUUUUAUUUUGAAAAUGACUAACUUACAUAUAAAAAAUCUAUCAACUCAUAUUUUAAGAACAUAUAGUAUUACACAAGCUAAGACCUCGUAUGCAUAUAUUCAUAUUUGGACCAAUACAACAAUAGCAAGCUCCAUCUGUUCCUUUACAAUGUUAUGAUGGAAGUGGUACACAGACACCUCUUAGCUUGGCAUCGUGAUGAGGAUUAUCAUACUCCAUAGUAGACGGUUGUGGGCUUGCAUCUCCCAAAAUAGUAUUUAUUAAGGUAGUUUUAAAAGCUUUAUCACCGAUGUUGUUCCCAUUUACAACUGCACAAACGAAUUCAUAACAUUAAAUAUAACGAUUAUACCGCAGAUGUGAACAAAUUAACAUGUAAAAUAUUGAUGGAGAUGAAUGCGAAAAUUUCCAAAUUAUCGUGAUAUUGUAAAAGAUGAACAUAAGGUGUUGUCACUGUGUCAUCAAACUUUUUAUAAUAGAUUAUUGUUUAAAACUACAAUAUGUCCAUUAAGAUACUCUAAUCAUUUUUGAAAUGAAAAAUCAACUCACAUAUGACAAGAAGGCCAAGAACAAAGAAUGACAACCAAAAUUCCUUAUUCCUCAACAUCUUCAUAUGAGAGGACAUGUCAAGAAUUGGUGAAGUGAAUAUAUUUAUACUAAAUUUACUAGAAGUAAGUGCAAUGUAUACUCAACUCAAAUGAGCGUAUAUUAUUCUAACUAAGUAUCCUUCAUAAUUACAACAUAUUUAUAGUAAAAUUAAAUUCAUAUGUUUCUGUUUAUUUGAUAGUAUUUAAGUUCUUUUUUGAAAAAUUAUUUUUUUUUGCUUUAAAAUUUUAAUUUUGUUUCAAGUAGUUUAGAAUGUGACAAGAACAAUGUCACUUAGAUGCAAAUUACCAUUUCAUAAAUACUUAUUUUGUCAUCUUUUUUCAUUUUUAUAUAUUAGAGGAUAAGAAACUAUGUAAAUUAUUUAAAAUAGGUCGCUGUAAUACGCAUCUAUUUUGAAAAUAUUAUGGACAUAAUCGGGCAUGGGAUUUCUUGGAUUUUUUAAAGUUUUUGAUUUACAAAAGAAAACUCGAAUAAAAAAAACUAGGUUAGAAUGUACAAUCUCUUAAAUUUUAUUUUUAAUAAAAAACACAUACUACGAAAUCUGCUAGAAGUACCUUUUGCUUUAUCCGAGCUUUUAGAGGCAUGUUUUCAUUUAAUUCUACGCCUUUAGUAGCUAAUAUAUAUGUUUUCUGAAAACUUCUAUAAAAUCAAAUUUUAUAGUUUCUUGAUCAUGUCUUCCAAAUAAAUGUCCUUAAGACACAUAAACACAUGUACAUGUUAUGAAAAUAUAAUAUAAAUAUUAGUAGCUUAUCACUUUAUUAUUGUAAUGGUUUAUGUAGUUUUAAAUAUAAGUUACAAUAUUGGGAGAUACGUUUAUCUUACAUUAUUUUGUAUUUUGUUCCUUAUUUAUAAUAUGAUAGCUUUCAAAUAGUUUUCUUCGGCAUCCAUAUAUUUUUCUAUAAAUUUUAUAUCGUUUUUAGUUUUACUUAUUAAUUGUUACAUAAAUUAAUUUAAUUUUAAUCAAUAUAUCAUUGAAUUUGUUUGUAAGUCUUACUAGAAGAAAAUUAAAUAUUUAUCUAUUAUUCAAAAAACUUCAAUUACAUAUUUUAAGAAAACAAAUAUUAUUUGGUACGAAAUAAGGGUUAUGUUCAAUUAAGAACAUAUGAAUUGAAUUUUUUAUGACAUUUGGUAAGCACAAAACCAUUUAAUUUUAUUUUGAAAACGACUAACUUACAUAUAAAAAAUGUAUCUACUCAUAUUUUAAGAACAUAUAGUAUUACACAAACUAAGACCUCGUAUGCAUAUAUUCAUAUUUGGACCAAUACAACAAUAGCAAGCUCCAUCUGCUCCUUUACAAUGUGAUGAUGGAAGUGGUACCCAGACACCUCUUAGCUUGGCAUCUUGAUGAGGAUUGUCAUACUCCAUAGUAGACGGUUGUGGGCUUGCAUCUCCCAAAAUAGUCUUUAUUAAGGUAGUUUUUAAUGCUUUAUCACCAAUGUUGUUCCCAUUUACAACUGCAUAAACGAAUUCAUAACAUUAAAUAUAACGAUUAUAACACAGAUGUGAACAAAUUAACAUGUAAAAUAUUGAUGGAGAUGAAUGCGAAAAUUUCCAAAUUAUCGUGAUAUUGUAAAAGACGAACAUAAGGUGUUGUCACUGUGUCAUCAAACUUUUUAUAAUAGAUUAUUGUUUAAAACUACAAUAUGUCCAUUAAGAUACUCUAAUCAUUUAUGAAAUGAAAAAUCAACUCACAUAUGACAAGAAGGCCAAGAACAAAGAAUGAAAACCAAAAUUCCUUAUUCCUCAACAUCUUCAUAUGAGAGGACAUGUCAAGAAUUGGUGAAGUGAAUAUAUUUAUACUAAAUUUACUAGAAGUAAGUGCAAUGUAUACUCAACUCAAAUGAGCGUUUUGUAAAUUAUUAUUCUAACUAAGUAUCCUUCAUAAUUACAACAUAUUUAUAGUAAAAUUAAAUUCAUAUGUUUCUGUUUAUU